Molecule: long non-coding RNA, 1658 nt
Organism: Brassica napus (rape)
Lineage: Eukaryota; Viridiplantae; Streptophyta; Magnoliopsida; Brassicales; Brassicaceae
Exons: 7
Source: RefSeq, a predicted model, not a curated record
CGGUAAGAAGCCCUUACGUGGCUGUUUUCUAUUGGACUCUCCUUAAUGUCUCUCUCUCCUUCGCCGGCGUUUGUGCGAAAUCAGUUUAUCUUCCUCUUCCAUUCUCGAUCACUCUGUCUCCUCUCUCAAUCUCUUCUCAUCCUUCUGGGUUAGGCAAAAUCUCCGUCUGAGGCUAUGAUGAAGAUCAGAAGAGAAGAAGGCUUCAAGAGAAAGCAAAGAUUCAGGGAAGGAUGAAACUCAGACAAUUGCUUGCCGUCGACCUCAGCGACUAUUGGUACAGAGUUUGCUCAGCUGAUGAGUUCUUCCAGUUCACCAAACUCAAUCCUAAAGCCGCAUCUAUGGUUAAUGAGGUCAGGUUCCGUUGAUGGGUUCCUCAAGAACACUAGAUUUAAUAACAAGGCUGCAAUGGGAAUCAAAAGCUAUACGACAAUAGAGGAUAAGAGCUUGAACAUAUUCAGGAAGGGAUGGUCAGGUUCAGAGAACAUGUACAGAGAAAAGGGCUUGUCAAUGUGGAUGUUACUGAGACUAUCAUUCCAAAGUCUAGGCAUAGUUUACGGCGAUUUAGGGACUUCUCCAUUGUAUGUGUUCUACAAUACAUUCCCUGAUGGCAUUAAGGAUAGUUAAGAUGUGAUCGGGGCUCUUUCUUUGAUCAUUUACUCUCUUCUGCUUAUACCUCUCAUCAAGUAUGUGUUCAUUGUCUGCAAAGCUAAUGACAAUGGUCAAGCUAAUGACAUGCUAAAGUGAAGCUUAUUCCGAAUCAGCAACGCAGCGAUGAGGAUCUGACUACUUAUAGUCGAACUUUAGUCGCUGAAGGGUCUUUUGCUGCUAAAACAAAGAAGUGGUUGGAGAGUAAAGAAUCUAGGAAGACAGCUCUUCUCUUUGUUGUUCUUCUCGGGACGUGUAUGAUGAUUGGUGAUGGUGUCUUAACUCCAGCCAUCUCCGUUCUUUCAGCGACUAGUGGGAUCAAAGUCAGCAGCCCAAAGAUGAGCAGCGACAUUGUUGUGGUUAUGUCCAUUGUCAUUUUAACAGGCACUGAGGCUCUAUACACAGACAUUUCUUACUUCCCGUUACUAGCGAUACAGCUUCACCUUCUUUGUGUUUCCUUGUCUUCUUCUAUCGUACUGCGUAUCUCGUGAACAACAAGGAUCAUUACGAUGAUGCGUUGUAUGCAUCUAUCCCAAGGUUUUAAGCCUGCUGAUUUUGCAACAAACAAAAAAUAAUAAUCACAAUGCAAAGCGACAAAACUUGUGCUCAGACAAGAGAGAUGGUGAUGAAACGCGAAGGGAUGAAGCGGUACCGUGAUAUGCUCAUUUUCCGAAAGAACAUUCGUCGAGGUCGUUAUAGUUCUUAGCAUGGUUGUUUGAACAUGGAUUUUGGAGCAUCUUCUUCAGCCGUUCGUCGGGGCAGUGCUCAGUUUACACAAGAGAUCUCAUUUCAACCAUUGGAAGUCGUGACACAAGAGAUCUUACUCCAAAGUUAGAGAAAGCAGUUCCAUAUGCAGUAAUCCUGUUUUCAUAUUCAAUAUAAUAUAUUUGUAUAUAUAUAUGCCUUUAUGUAUAUGAUAUGAUGUGUACAAUCAUUUGAUUCAAAGAGGAUGGACAAUUCCCUCUAUCAUUUGUAAUCAAGCAAGUUGAAGUUAAUGAAAAAGUUGUGUUUCA